GACGAACGCUGGCGGCGUGCUUAACACAUGCAAGUCGAACGGAAAGGCCCUGCUUUUGUGGGGUGCUCGAGUGGCGAACGGGUGAGUAACACGUGAGUAACCUGCCCUUGACUUUGGGAUAACUUCAGGAAACUGGGGCUAAUACCGGAUAGGAGCUCCUGCUGCAUGGUGGGGGUUGGAAAGUUUCGGCGGUUGGGGAUGGACUCGCGGCUUAUCAGCUUGUUGGUGGGGUAGUGGCUUACCAAGGCUUUGACGGGUAGCCGGCCUGAGAGGGUGACCGGCCACAUUGGGACUGAGAGACGGCCCAGACCCCUACGGGAGGCAGCAGUGGGGAAUAUUGCACAAGGGGCGGAAGCCUGAUGCAGCAACGCCGCGUGCGGGAUGACGGCCUUCGGGUGGUAAACCGCUUUCGCCUGUGACGAAGCGUGAGGGACGGUAAUGGGUAAAGAAACACCGGCUAACUACGU
This 467-nucleotide ribosomal RNA is filed under the name uncultured bacterium. Its description in RNAcentral is "partial 16S ribosomal RNA". It matches the Rfam family "Bacterial small subunit ribosomal RNA", at positions 28 to 506 of the family's 1533-position model. The record is from RNAcentral.